RNAcentral lists this long non-coding RNA (258 nucleotides) under Solanum tuberosum (potato). Its description in RNAcentral is "long non-coding RNA (STUB_LNC007363)". The record is from RNAcentral. Lineage: Eukaryota; Viridiplantae; Streptophyta; Magnoliopsida; Solanales; Solanaceae.
CUCAUUCGCAAACACCCUAAUCUUUCUAUUAAUAUUGUGUCAUGCAGUUCCCAUGCCCAGCAACAAUCUAUACAUAUCAAAGCCUCCUGAUAUGCUAAAAUGCUGAAAUGGUUCCAUCAAAGCUUAUAUAGUUGAACUCUUUUUUUCUAUUCAUCAUGGCCACUCUCUCAAAGGCCUACUGAGUAUUUACAGACCUGAUUUUCCAAAUGAGUGAGCUAUUUUAAACUUCCUUUGGCAUAAGCUUUCCUUGUUGUACGC